RNAcentral lists this ribosomal RNA (486 nucleotides) under uncultured bacterium. RNAcentral describes it as "partial 16S ribosomal RNA". It matches the Rfam family "Bacterial small subunit ribosomal RNA", at positions 28 to 507 of the family's 1533-position model. The record is from RNAcentral.
GAUGAACGCUGGCGGCGUGCCUAAUACAUGCAAGUCGAACGCUGGAAAUCUAGCUUGCUAGAUUGAAGGAGUGGCGAACGGGUGAGUAAUACAUAAGCAACCUACCCACGAAGACUGGGAUAAUCUCUGGAAACGGGGACUAAUACCGGAUAGGUAAUCGGAAGGCAUCUUCUGAUUAUUAAAGGUUAAAAACACUGGUGGAUGGGCUUAUGGCGCAUUAGUUAGUUGGUGAGGUAACGGCCCACCAAGACGAUGAUGCGUAGCCGGCCUGAGAGGGUGAACGGCCACAUUGGGACUGAGACACGGCCCAGACGCCUACGGGAGGCAGCAGUAGGGAAUUGUCGGCAAUGGGGGAAACCCUGACCGAGCAACGCCGCGUGAGUGAUGACGGCCUUCGGGUUGUAAAGCUCUGUUGUAAGGGAAGAACGGUAGAUAGAGAAUAUCUAAAUGACGGUACCUUACCAGAAAGCCACGGCUAACUACGUG